GACGAACGCUGCCGGCGUGCUUAAUACAUGCAAGUAGGACGCACAGUUUAUACCGUAGCUUGCUACACCAUAGACUGUGAGUUGCGAACGGGUGAGUAACGCGUAGGUAACCUGCCUAUUAGAGGGGGAUAACUAUUGGAAACGAUAGCUAAUACCGCAUAACCAGUAUGUAACACAUGUUAGAUGCUUGAAAGAUGCAAUUGCAUCGCUAGUAGAUGGACCUGCGUUGUAUUAGCUAGUAGGUAGGGUAAAGGCCUACCUAGGCAACGAUACAUAGCCGACCUGAGAGGGUGAUCGGCCACACUGGGACUGAGACACGGCCCAGACUCCUACGGGAGGCAGCAGUAGGGAAUCUUCGGCAAUGGGGGGAACCCUGACCGAGCAACGCCGCGUGAGUGAAGAAGGUUUUCGGAUCGUAAAGCUCUGUUGUUAAGGAAGAACGAGUGUGAGAAUGGAAAGUUCAUACUGUGACGGUACUUAACCAGAAAG
RNAcentral lists this ribosomal RNA (489 nucleotides) under Streptococcus anginosus. RNAcentral describes it as "bacterial SSU rRNA". It matches the Rfam family "Bacterial small subunit ribosomal RNA", at positions 28 to 490 of the family's 1533-position model. The record is from RNAcentral. Lineage: Bacteria; Bacillati; Bacillota; Bacilli; Lactobacillales; Streptococcaceae.